GAGGAUGUAGCUCAGUGGUAGACUGCAUGCAAAGCAUGCAUGAGGUCCUGGGUUCAAUCCCCAGUACCUCCA
Molecule: transfer RNA, 72 nt
Filed under: Camelus bactrianus (Bactrian camel)
Lineage: Eukaryota; Metazoa; Chordata; Mammalia; Artiodactyla; Camelidae
Also listed under: 2 other names
Rfam family: tRNA
About the family: Transfer RNA (tRNA) molecules are approximately 80 nucleotides in length.
Source: Rfam by way of RNAcentral